RNAcentral lists this long non-coding RNA (552 nucleotides) under Homo sapiens (human). RNAcentral's name for it is "HSALNT0178607". The record is from RNAcentral. Lineage: Eukaryota; Metazoa; Chordata; Mammalia; Primates; Hominidae.
GGCUAGUCAAGUGAAGCAGUGUGAGUGGAGAAGUAUUUUCAUUUAUUGAUUUGAAGAAAAUCUUUGAAUGUUAAAGAGAAGAAUCUUUGGUCUGGAUGUGGUGGCUCAAGCCUGUAAUCUCAACACUUUGGGAGGCUGAAGUGGAGGAUCACUUGAGCCCAGGAGUUAAGAUGAGCUUGGGCAACACAGUGAGACUCCAUCUCUAAAAAAAAUGAAAAAGUUAGCUGGGCAUGGUGGCGCAUGCCUGUAGUCCAAACUACUUGGGAGGAUGAGGCAGGAGAAUCACUUGAGCCCCAGAGUUUAGGUAAUUCACUGCACUCCAGCCUCAGCAACAGAGUGAAACUCUGUCAAAGAAGAAAAGAAAAACAAAAAGAAAGAAUCUUUGGUUAAGGAUACUUUCCUCCAGUGUAAUUUGUCUUUCAACUUAGUUUAUGAUAAAUUUUGCUACAUAAAAGUUUUACAUUUUCAUAUAAUCAGAUCUAUCAUCCUUUAUACUUUAAGCCUUUAGUUUCAUGUUUACAAAUUCAUCUUAACACUCUCUCCACUGACAUG